GGGGGUAUGGCUCAAGCAGGAAAGCACUUGCCUAGCAAGCAUGAGGCCUUGAAGCCCUGAGUUCAAAUCCCAGUACUAUUU
Molecule: transfer RNA, 81 nt
Filed under: Dipodomys ordii (Ord's kangaroo rat)
Lineage: Eukaryota; Metazoa; Chordata; Mammalia; Rodentia; Heteromyidae
Rfam family: tRNA
About the family: Transfer RNA (tRNA) molecules are approximately 80 nucleotides in length.
Source: Rfam by way of RNAcentral